CAAUAGCGUAUAUUAAAGUUGUUGCGGUAAAAAAGCUCGUAGUUGGAUUUCUGUUGAGAGCGACCGGUCCAUACCAUGUAUGCGUAUCUGGCUUGCUCUCGGCAUCCUCUCGACAGACGUUACUGCGCUUGAUUGCGUGGUGCGGAUCUCGGGACUUUUACUUUGAGGAAAUUAGAGUGUUCACGGCAGGCUUUCGCCAGAAUACAUUAGCAUGGAAUAAUACUAUAGGAUCUUGGUUCUAUUUUGUUGGUUUCUAGAAUUGAGAUAAUGAUUAAUAGGGACAAUUGGGGGCAUUCGUAUCAACACGUCAGAGGUGGAAUUCUUGGAUUGUGUUGCGACGAACUACUGCGAAAGCAUUUGCCAAGGAUGUUUUCAUUGA
This 379-nucleotide ribosomal RNA is filed under the name uncultured eukaryote. Its description in RNAcentral is "partial 18S ribosomal RNA". It matches the Rfam family "Eukaryotic small subunit ribosomal RNA", at positions 592 to 976 of the family's 1831-position model. The record is from RNAcentral.